CAGCAGCCGCGGUAAUACAGAGGGUGCGAGCGUUAAUCGGAUUUACUGGGCGUAAAGCGUGCGUAGGCGGCUUCUUAAGUCGGAUGUGAAAUCCCUGAGCUUAACUUAGGAAUUGCAUUCGAUACUGGGAAGCUAGAGUAUGGGAGAGGAUGGUAGAAUUCCAAGUGUAGCGGUGAAAUGCGUAGAGAUCUGGAGGAAUACCGAUGGCGAAGGCAGCCAUCUGGCCUAAUACUGACGCUGAGGUACGAAAGCAUGGGGAGCAAACAGGAUUAGAUACCCCGGUAGUCCCUGUCUCUUAUAC
RNAcentral lists this ribosomal RNA (301 nucleotides) under uncultured bacterium. Its description in RNAcentral is "partial 16S ribosomal RNA". It matches the Rfam family "Bacterial small subunit ribosomal RNA", at positions 509 to 807 of the family's 1533-position model. The record is from RNAcentral.